Molecule: ribosomal RNA, 104 nt
Filed under: Microcebus murinus (gray mouse lemur)
Lineage: Eukaryota; Metazoa; Chordata; Mammalia; Primates; Cheirogaleidae
Source: RNAcentral
CUAUGGCUAUACCACCCUGAACGCGCCCGAUCUUGUCUGAUCUCGGAAGCUAAGCAGGGUCGGGCCUGGUUAGUACUUGGAUGGGAGAAGCGCUGGCCCAAAGC